GGCCGAAAGGCGUAAUCGAUGGGAAACAGAUUAAUAUUUCUGUACUUCCGCUAACUGCGAUGGAGAGACGGAGAAGGCUAGGCUAGCGCGGCGUUGGUAGUCCGCGUUUAAGGUGGUAGGUGGGUGACUUAGGCAAAUCCGGGUCACUAUACACUGAGAGCUGAUGACGAGUCCCCAAGGGGAUGAAGUAGUUGAUGCCAUGCUUCCAGGAAAAUCUUCUAAGCUUCAGGUUAGCGGGAAUCGUACCCCAAACCGACACAGGUGGUCGGGUAGAGAAUACCAAGGCGCUUGAGAGAACUCGGCUGAAGGAACUAGGCAAAAUGGUACCGUAACUUCGGGAGAAGGUACGCUCUUGUUGGUGAUGAGACUUGCUCUCUAAGCUGACGGGAGUCGCAGAUACCAGGUGGCUGCAACUGUUUAUCAAAAACACAGCACUGUGCAAACU
Molecule: ribosomal RNA, 445 nt
Filed under: Escherichia coli
Lineage: Bacteria; Pseudomonadati; Pseudomonadota; Gammaproteobacteria; Enterobacterales; Enterobacteriaceae
Description: partial 23S ribosomal RNA
Rfam family: Bacterial large subunit ribosomal RNA
Source: RNAcentral